AGGGGCAGAGCUGUUGCUGUGUUGCUGUGAUGCUGGCUGGGGUAUAGGUAGGUGGAGAGAAUUGUUGGGAAUCUCUUCUAUAUUCCUAGGCUGCACUUGAAGGGGAUGAUUUACCUAUCCCAUAAUUGCAGGAUCUUCUGGUGCAGGCUCCAGUAUUCCCAUGUGGCCAUUCUGGGCUUGGUUUACUGCUUGCUGGUCCCCCAUAUUUUGCUGUUGCAGUGCUGGGAGGAAGUGUGGGAGAUGUCCCUAGUCCACUUCCAUAUUUGCCCCAUCAUUGUUCUGAGCUAGUUGUAGUCCUGGAACCUGAUUAUCCUAGCCCAGGAGCUCAUCCUCAUUAUGAUUGUCUUGUUCUAAUCCUAGUGGAUGAUUGCGAUCCUGCAGACCCUCUU
RNAcentral lists this long non-coding RNA (389 nucleotides) under Setaria viridis. Its description in RNAcentral is "long non-coding RNA (SVIR_LNC008168)". Lineage: Eukaryota; Viridiplantae; Streptophyta; Magnoliopsida; Poales; Poaceae. The record is from RNAcentral.